Long non-coding RNA from Mytilus californianus (California mussel), 703 nucleotides. RefSeq lists it as uncharacterized. The record is from RefSeq and is a predicted model, not a curated record. The transcript has 5 exons. Lineage: Eukaryota; Metazoa; Mollusca; Bivalvia; Mytilida; Mytilidae.
UAAAAUAUAUCUUAACUACGCAUGUUCUUUUUUGUUUAUUAUUUCAACGACCGAAUCAUAUUGACUUUAAAUUGUGUUACUUUUAUCUUAUAGAAAUUAACUGUGUUAUAUGCUUGGAGUCUUUGCAAGAGGGAAACGUUGUCGCACUUUAAUGUGCUCAUAACUGGAAAUCCCUUGAUAUUUCAGUAAGUUACACUGUCUUCCUGGUGACAAAAUAGAACUUAAAUGAUGGUACUUGGAUUACCUGCUGAAGAUCCCUAUAGUGGAAAUUACAAAGGUGGAUAUGAUAUUGAUUUUCUAUACCUGCUACUUGGAUUCGUAGGACUACCAAUUGGAUCGAUAUUGAUAUGCGGUGUGCUAUACUGUGUGAGUUGUUGUUUUCAGAAGAUGAAACAAUGUGUGUGCAACAUAUUUUGUCCUCCUUCGUCACAUGGUGAUUAUGUGCUCACUACAGAGCUUCCGCGAACAGAAUCUAAACAAUAAUGACCAGUUGUUGCACUACCAUGCAUCCAUUAGUGUAAUACGUCAAUCAACAAGUAUUUGAUAUCUUUCAGCUUUCCAUGGGAUAUGCAUGAAACAAUAUUUCUACAGCAAACAACAAUGCCCUUUGUGAAGGAAACAAAAAUCAAAUCGCCAUGCAUAUAAUUCAGUGUGUAAUACCAAUACAAACAACAAGAAAUAUACCAAAUCUACUAAUUAUAUA